GCUCGGAUGAACGCUAGCUACAGGCUUACACAUGCAAGUCGAGGGGCAGCAUCAUCAAAGCUUGCUUUGAUGGAUGGCGACCGGCGCACGGGUGAGUAACACGUAUCCAACCUGCCGACAACACUGGGAUAGCCUUUCGAAAGAAAGAUUAAUACCGGAUGGCAUAGUCUUCCCGCAUGGGAUGAUUAUUAAAGAAUUUCGGUUGUCGAUGGGGAUGCGUUCCAUUAGGCAGUUGGCGGGGUAACGGCCCACCAAACCUACGAUGGAUAGGGGUUCUGAGAGGAAGGUCCCCCACAUUGGAACUGAGACACGGUCCAAACUCCUACGGGAGGCAGCAGUGAGGAAUAUUGGUCAAUGGACGAGAGUCUGAACCAGCCAAGUAGCGUGAAGGAUGACUGCCCUAUGGGUUGUAAACUUCUUUUAUACGGGAAUAAAGUUAGCCACGUGUGGCUUUUUGUAUGUACCGUAUGAAUAAGGAUCGGCUAACUCCGUGCCAGCAGCCGCGGUAAUACGGAGGAUCCGAGCGUUAUCCGGAUUUAUUGGGUUUAAAGGGAGCGUAGGCGGGUUGUUAAGUCAGUUGUGAAAGUUUGCGGCUCAACCGUAAAAUUGCAGUUGAUACUGGCGACCUUGAGUGCAACAGAGGUAGGCGGAAUUCGUGGUGUAGCGGUGAAAUGCUUAGAUAUCACGAAGAACUCCGAUUGCGAAGGCAGCUUACUGGAUUGUAACUGACGCUGAUGCUCGAAAGUGUGGGUAUC
RNAcentral lists this ribosomal RNA (755 nucleotides) under Bacteroides stercoris. RNAcentral describes it as "bacterial SSU rRNA". It matches the Rfam family "Bacterial small subunit ribosomal RNA", at positions 22 to 769 of the family's 1533-position model. The record is from RNAcentral. Lineage: Bacteria; Pseudomonadati; Bacteroidota; Bacteroidia; Bacteroidales; Bacteroidaceae.